This 458-nucleotide long non-coding RNA is filed under the name Helianthus annuus (common sunflower). Lineage: Eukaryota; Viridiplantae; Streptophyta; Magnoliopsida; Asterales; Asteraceae. The record is from RNAcentral.
GUAAACCCUAAACUACAAACACCGCUUUCAUUCUUUUCAUCUAUCUUUGUGUUUUCUCCUCUACAUUGAAGUCGCUUCGAUUCUUUGAGGUAUCCUGCAAUCCUCAACUCGAACCCUAAUUUGUGGUCCAAUUGCUUUUAUUGUUAAUUGUAUGUUAUUAUGAAUUUGGGUUUUGUUGUUUUUUUGAACAAUGGGUUUUGAUAAGAAGAGAGCGACAGACAGAGGUGGUGUCGCAGACAUGGCGACGACCUUUCUGCUCAACUUGCUAGGGUUCCGACACUAUGUUCAUGAGUUCCUUCCUUUUGAAGUCAGAAGUCAGAAGUAAUAAGGGAUUUUGUUUUGGUUUUAUGGAAUUCAUGUCAUUGGAUUCCAUGCAUAGUGCUAUAAAGCAACUGUUAGUAUGAAUCCAAUGAUUCGGACAAUGGUUCCACCUCCGUUUCAGCAGAUGGCACUUGCAC